Molecule: non-coding RNA, 119 nt
Organism: Phaseolus vulgaris (common bean)
Lineage: Eukaryota; Viridiplantae; Streptophyta; Magnoliopsida; Fabales; Fabaceae
Source: Rfam
AGGUUUGACCAUACCAUCAAUACUGCACCGGAUCCUAUCAGAACUCCGCAGUGAAGCGUGUUUGGGCGAGAGUAGUACUAAGAUGGGUGACCUCUUGGGAAGUCCUCGUGUUGCUCUUC